Molecule: ribosomal RNA, 253 nt
Filed under: uncultured bacterium
Lineage: Bacteria
Description: partial 16S ribosomal RNA
Rfam family: Bacterial small subunit ribosomal RNA
Source: RNAcentral
UACGUAGGGUGCGAGCGUUGUCCGGAAUUAUUGGGCGUAAAGAGCUCGUAGGUGGUUUGUCGCGUCUGCUGUGAAAACUCGGGGCUUAACUCCGGGCCUGCAGUGGGUACGGGCAGACUAGAGUGCGGUAGGGGAGACUGGAAUUCCUGGUGUAGCGGUGAAAUGCGCAGAUAUCAGGAGGAACACCGGUGGCGAAGGCGGGUCUCUGGGCCGUAACUGACGCUGAGGAGCGAAAGCGUGGGGAGCGAACAGG